RNAcentral lists this ribosomal RNA (603 nucleotides) under Yarrowia sp. RNAcentral describes it as "LSU rRNA". It matches the Rfam family "Eukaryotic large subunit ribosomal RNA", at positions 267 to 961 of the family's 3401-position model. Lineage: Eukaryota; Fungi; Ascomycota; Dipodascomycetes; Dipodascales. The record is from RNAcentral.
GAGUUGUUUGGGAAUGCAGCUCAAAGUGGGUGGUAAACUCCAUCUAAAGCUAAAUACUGGUGAGAGACCGAUAGCGAACAAGUACUGUGAAGGAAAGGUGAAAAGAACUUUGAAAAGAGAGUGAAAUAGUAUGUGAAAUUGUUGAUAAGGAAGGAAAUGAGUGGAGAGUGGACGAGGUUUCAGUGCCCCCUCGGGGGUACGUACUGCCAACUCCGAGUCAACGUCAGCGAGACGGGGUGUAUAAACGGGUGUCUUCGGACUCUCACCUACUCCCCCCCACUGCCGUCGUCGACAUAAUCCACCCAUUUCACCCGUCUUGAAACACGGACCAAGGAGUCUAAUGGAUAUGUGAGUGUUAGGGUGGCAAACCCCAGCGCGCAAUGAAAGUGAAUGAUUCGUUCAGAAUCGACCGAACUUGAUUUUUAUGACAGUUUUGAGUAAACACAUCCAUUGGGACCCGAAAGAUGGUGAACUAUGCCUGAAUAGGGUGAAGUCAGAGGAAACUCUGAUGGAGGCUCGUAGCGGUUCUGACGUGCAAAUCGAUCGUAGAAUUUGGGUAUAGGGGCGAAAGACUAAUCGAACCAUCUAGUAGCUGGUUCCUGC